Molecule: ribosomal RNA, 497 nt
Filed under: uncultured bacterium
Lineage: Bacteria
Description: partial 16S ribosomal RNA
Rfam family: Bacterial small subunit ribosomal RNA
Source: RNAcentral
GAUGAACGCUGGCGGCGUGCCUAAUACAUGCAAGUCGAGCGAACAGAUGAGGAGCUUGCUCCUCUGACGUUAGCGGCGGACGGGUGAGUAACACGUGGAUAACCUACCUAUAAGACUGGGAUAACUUCGGGAAACCGGAGCUAAUACCGGAUAAUAUAUUGAACCGCAUGGUUCAAUAGUGAAAGACGGUUUUGCUGUCACUUAUAGAUGGAUCCGCGCCGCAUUAGCUAGUUGGUAAGGUAACGGCUUACCAAGGCGACGAUGCGUAGCCGACCUGAGAGGGUGAUCGGCCACACUGGAGCUGAGACACGGUCCAGACUCCUACGGGAGGCAGCAGUAGGGAAUCUUCCGCAAUGGGCGAAAGCCUGACGGAGCAACGCCGCGUGAGUGAUGAAGGUCUUCGGAUCGUAAAACUCUGUUAUUAGGGAAGAACAAAUGUGUAAGUAACUAUGCACGUCUUGACGGUACCUAAUCAGAAAGCCACGGCUAACUACGUG